This 1337-nucleotide long non-coding RNA is filed under the name Bactrocera tryoni. Its description in RNAcentral is "uncharacterized LOC120781411, transcript variant X1". Lineage: Eukaryota; Metazoa; Arthropoda; Insecta; Diptera; Tephritidae. The record is from RNAcentral.
CCGAACAUAUGUAGUAUAUGCUAUAUAUAUAUAUGCAUUAAAUAAAUAUUAUCAUAAUACCCUAAAAACUGGAUUAUAGUAUUCACAGUUUUUGGGAAAUUUCAUAGGUGCCAACUUUGCCUGAUAUUUGACAUUUAAACUGUGAGCGCACAAAAAAGCAAAAUUUAUUGAACGCACUCAGCUACAAAUGUAUACAGGACAUAACCGCUAAUGAUUCUAGUAUUGACGAAGAGGAUGGCGAUAUCCUAAUAAAUUUUGCCAUUGAUGCAGCGCUUAUUUUAGCUAAUCGGAGAAGUACCCAUUGGGGGAUACCAAAAUCUUGGCAAUGGGUCAAUAAUGUUCUUCCCAGAUUUGAUAGUGGCAGCAUGCGACAAAUGUUGCGCAUAGAAAUCUUUGAGUACAACUAUAUAUUAUCCUUAAUCAAGCAGGACCCUGUUUUCCAAAACAAAAAUUGUGUUCCACAUUUACCAAUCGAUCUUCAACUAAAGAUAACACUUUUUCGUCUGGGAUCAAGUGGAGAGAGUGCCUCUAUUAGAAAGAUUGCAACAUUGUUCGGAAUAGGCGUUGGCGGAACAGUUACCAAAGUGACAGAGCGGGUUAUCACCGCAUUGAUUAAUUUAAAAUCUACAUUUUUAUGUUGGCCAUCAAGAGAAGAAAAGCGAAAGAUUGUCACAAAAACAAUGGAAGAGCUUCCAGUAUGUAUUGGCUAUGUUGACGGUACUGAAAUCAGAUUAGCAGAGUCUCCUUCAAAAGAUCACAAACUAUACUUCUCUCGCAAAAAAACGGUAUGCCAUAAAAAUGCAAGUAGUAUGUGACUAUUCACAAAGAAUUAGACAAGCGACAAUAGGAAGCGUGCAUGGUGCUAAAAUUUUUGCCGAAUUUGCAAUAGGUAAAAACCCACAAAAUUAUUUUUGUCAUCGGGAAUUGAUUGCUAGCGAUUCGGCAUAUCCGCUAAGCCAACAUCUUAUUACACCUUUUCGACAAAACAGUACUGAGCAGUCAAAAGAAAUCACACAUACAUUCAAUCAAUAUUUCUCUAAAUAUAGAGUACGUAUAGAAAAUUGUUUUGGGAAAUUAAAAGAAAAAUUUUGCACUUUAAAAGAACUACGGUUCCGAUUAACGAACGAAACUAAUUAUAAAAAUUGUUGUAUAUGGAUUUUGGCAUGUUGUAUCCUUCACAGCAUAUUGCUAUAAUUUAACUUAAACGAAAAUUCUAGUUUAGAAAGUCAAGAAGAAACAGACUUCCCACAAGAAAUUUAUGAACACGACGACCUAAGAAAAGCUCUAUCACAUUUUGUAAACAAUAAAGAUAUAAUUAUUUACUUUUAUGUAGUAUA